GCGGAGAAAUGCAGGCAGUGGUCACAAAAUAUUUAAAUAUCUAAUGUUUAAAAUUUCGCUGACAGGUAAAUUACAAGUUGGUCUAUUUAUGCAAACUUUAUGUAAAAACUACAGUGAUGUAGGCUAUAUGACGUUUUCACAGAUCCAGCAACGAACGUGCUACUUAAUAUUCAUAAGGCAUACUUUAGACAAGUCGGAAAGACUGCCCCCGCGCUCUGUUUCAAUGCAUUGUCUCUCAGACAUUCUUAAACCCAACAUAAAAAAAAAACAUUGUCUAUAGAGUGUUUCAGCAAAUAUUAAUAAUGUCAUAAAUAAAUAGCUGGUAACUGAGAGUUCACGCCUAAAGAGUUCAUAAAUCAUUCAUAUAUGGAGCCUAAUUAAAAGCCACGCGUGUUUAAUUAGACAUUCAGUCCAAGGAGCUCGCCUGCCUGUGCAUCAUGAGUUUUACGAGUAGAUUCCAUGAUGCCUUUGUCCAAAAUAACGUUAGCAUGGCUAUUAUGAUACUAAUUGAAGAAAAAUCUUCCGUAUCCUUGACCGAUCGACUGGACGAAGUUGUAAUCAAGGAGCUGCAUAAAAACGAACUUAAGAAUGUUUCCUUAAUAUUACAAGCAAUUGAACAUCUGAUCAGUAAGGAUAAGGACAGCAUCCAGAAACUUAUUCAUCACGGCUUGGUUGUGAAGAUGUUGAAUUGGUUUGAAAUGGCGUCAGAGUAUCUUAAAGAACAGCACAAACCACCCAGGGACGCCAUGAAACUCAUAGAAGUUUUCUACGAGGUUGCAAUGAGUCUGUGUCAGAUCCCCAUUGCAGGAAGCAAUAAGAUCCUGGAUAUAUUUCUGCUGCGGUUUGGAGCUGUUGUUUUGGAUUAUGAAGUGCCUUUCUGUCUGCGUCUAGAGGCUAUCAGAACCAUAAACUCUAUGUUGGACAGCAGUCCCAAAGACAUAAGGAAGAAACUCUGCCAGUCAGAUGAUCAUACCGGGCUCUUAGAAGACUUGGCAAAAGCGCUGACAGACAUUGGUGAUUAUGAAAUGCAGGUGGCCAUCUCUGAAGCACUCUGCAGGAUGACACCGAAGAAACUAAGAGAAGACUUUGCUGGAAAAUGGUUUAGUUUCAGAAGCUUUGCUUCAGCAUUUACUUCAAUUCGUGACAAAGAUUUUGAAACUGACUGUAGAACAUUUCUGAAUGAACUCAAUUGUUAUUUUGGGAACUCAAGAAGAGUCUUCUCAUUCCCUUGUAUUCAGGCAUUUCUUGAUUCAGUUGAGCUCUUCAAGCCUGAAGAUGAGUUUCUAAAGGAAUUUUGGGUGGAUUUCAACAUUGGAACAUCCACCAUUAGUUUCUUUGUAAAUGACCCAAAGAACACACUGUGGGAGCUGAUUCACCUGCCUAAAGAUGUUGUCAGCAUGUAUGAUCUUCAAGAGUGUGAUGAUCAGAAGAUAUUGUCUGUUCACAUGAGUACCCCAAUCUCUCACGGAGAGAUCACUGGCAAAAUGGUCAAAAUCAUUUUUAGUUCAGAGCACAACAUCCAAACAGCCCUGAAGAAAGUCUUUGCAGAGAAACCACAGUCUGACUCAGCCUCAAAGGACACUCUGCAAUCAGGGGAUGCCGCGACCAUGAUAGAAGGACCCCAACAUGAACAAACAAUGAAGCUGCAGAAAUUUUCAAGUUCACCUGCUGGAGAAACUAAAGGCAUCCAUCAGGUUUCCCUUCAUUUGAGUGGACCAAGCAGAUAUUCAAGAUCAAAAGUCAAAGGAAUCCCAGGCGAAGACAUCUUUCACUUUAAGGAUCAUUCAGAUUCAGAGGUGUGUAUAUGGCUACCCCAGGUGAUCCUUGAGGUGUCUCAAUGUCCGAGUGACACUUUUGACACAGAACGAUCAGGGAAGUCACAUGACGAGAAGCCAAAGACUAUAACAUUCAUGGCUGCUUUAUGGAGGUACCAGGUUGAGCGUGCCAAGACUGUAUUGUUCUGUCAGACACCAUCUUCCAACGGGUCUACAAAGUCCCUCCCUGACACUCUGGGUAGAACUCCUGUGAAGAAGAAAAUAAGGGUGAUUCAUUCAGAAAAAGGAUUUCUCCGCAAGGACAUCCCACACGCUGACUACAGCAGGAGAAAACCCAGAACUAAGGGCAAACUCAGAGUUCUUCCUCUUUCGUCACCCAGCAGUAAUGAGGAGGAAUUCCCCAAGUAUUCAACACCUAAAAAAAGACUUCAAAUGGCAAGUGAAGACUGGCAGUCUCAAGUCAAACUAAGGAGAUCACUGAACAGAGAAUCGUCCUUACUUAAAGAGGCCACUGCUGAUUCAGGUUUUCAAAACAAGAGUGUUUCUGAAACCAGUUUACAAGCAGAGGAACUUGAUAAUGUUAUUGAAGAGGAACACUGUUUAGAUAAAGAAACACCACAACCCCAAAAAACUGAAGCACUUGAAUCAUCAGAGCUGUAUGUGGGUCUAAAAGGGGACAACCAGCUACCCAGACAACCAACAUUCCAACCUAGAAGACUUUUCCUGUCUAGUCCACUAGAGGAUGCUGCAGAGCAAAUAACUGAAGUGUUGAUGGAAGAUGAGUCAGAGGAAGAGUUGGGUGCAGGUGUCAGAGCUGCAUUUAACUCCUUUAAAACUCAGUUGAGAGCACACUUUUCUAGCACGUAUAAGAAGAUUGAAGCCAUAUCACUGCAAUCUUUAACGGACUGUCAGAGAAAUGUGACCUCUCUCUUGGGAACUGUACACAAUCAAAGAUUGGAGCAUCUGGAGCAGUUUCAGAACACAGUGGUGCAGCAGUUGGAAUGUUUUGAGCAGGACUGUCUGUCUCUCAAAACCAUCGAGAAGGAGACUGUGGUUUGUCUCCGUUUCUCAAUACAACAGGCACAUUUUCAUGUUAAGUAAUUUCUGGCAGUCGGAAGUUCGGGCAUUCUGUGAUAGACAGCAGAAGAGGUUGGAUUCUCUCCUAAUCCUUAAUACGAGUGCUGAAGCAUCUUUUAGUUUAUCAGCGAGAAGAGAGGCCAAAAUUACUGUACCCACCUCUCCUCGAGGACAAUCAUCCAUGGUUGCCCUAUCAGAGACCACCACUACAGAUCCCUCGUAGGACUUUACACUAUAAAGCUCUUUCUUUCAUAUGCCUUCAUUCUGUCUUUCAGAAACAUCUACUCCUAAUUAAAACAAUUGAAUUGUCAUUGUGAAUGUAUUAUAUAAUAAACAUCACACAACGUCAUUUUAUA
Molecule: RNA transcript, 3208 nt
Organism: Megalobrama amblycephala (Wuchang bream)
Lineage: Eukaryota; Metazoa; Chordata; Actinopteri; Cypriniformes; Xenocyprididae
Gene: sycp2l
Gene name: synaptonemal complex protein 2-like
Exons: 34
Source: RefSeq, a predicted model, not a curated record